Molecule: long non-coding RNA, 911 nt
Organism: Topomyia yanbarensis
Lineage: Eukaryota; Metazoa; Arthropoda; Insecta; Diptera; Culicidae
Exons: 2
Source: RefSeq, a predicted model, not a curated record
UAAAACUUGCCUCACUGUUGGAAUUCUGACAUAUGCAAAAUGUCUUCCUGCUGAAGAAAAUCGGUAAUAGUCUUACGAUUGUGUCUGAAUAUUUGCGGUCUGUAUGUGCUCUGUGAAAGCUUAUGAGAAUCCUCAGAAGACCACAGCAAUUUGCAGUGGAAAUGUUGAAGCUCUCUCAUCCCAAAUCAAUAUACGUUUGUUUUACAUUGGCAGAUGAUUUGUAGAAACGGUGUUGUGCCAAUAAACGAUUAUGUCGGCUACAAAUUAUCAGCUACUGGAGACCGACAAGUUUUCCAGCAAUGGCCAACAGAACAUAAAAUUGCUGGUGUACCUCAGGGAUCUAAUUUUAAUUCCUGAUCCUCUGGAAAAAGAAGAUGCACAAGUGUGUAGCCACCGAGAAGGAACACAAUCUGACCACUAUGCAGAAGACCCCGAUAAACCCCCGCUUAAUCUCGGAAGGAGGCACAAUUCUCAGUUUCGUUAGUUUCAGUUUUUAUUGUUUUAAUCCAAUCAUGACGGAAAAACCGAUUAUGAGGAAAUUCUGUGAAUUCAAUCGUGGUGUGGAUUUAGACCAACAACCAGAUAUUGAAGCUGAAGCACAACCUGCUCAUGAAGUGACAAUCGAUGUAUUAUGUUUGAUCAGCACAGCAAGUUGCUGGUUCUUAUCGAGAGGUUCCCAAGGGUUUAGCAGGAUGCUCCAGCAAACGAGAAGUGGAUGAGUCUAUUGUGAACAUUUGAAACCGCAGCCAACCACGUUCAAAUCUAACUUGAGGUUAUCGGCUUCAAUUCUUUAGAGCUCACUUCUCCCGAGAUGGGUGCAACUACUGAUAAAUAUUAAUCAUCUUUUAAAGCAUUUGACUGUUAAAGAACGCAAAUAUAGUUUGAGAGAAAAAAUGUUUUUCUAUAUGGAA